UGGGAACGUGCCCAAAGGUACGGAACAACUCCGGGAAACUGGAGCUAAUACCGUAUGUGCCCGAAAGGGGAAAGAUUCAUCGCCUUUGGAUCGGCCCGCGUCUGAUUAGCUAGUUGGCGGGGUAAUGGCCCACCAAGGCGACGAUCAGUAGCUGGUCUGAGAGGAUGACCAGCCACACUGGGACUGAGACACGGCCCAGACUCCUACGGGAGGCAG
Molecule: ribosomal RNA, 216 nt
Filed under: uncultured bacterium
Lineage: Bacteria
Description: partial 16S ribosomal RNA
Rfam family: Bacterial small subunit ribosomal RNA
Source: RNAcentral